UCCUGGAGUGGGGGAUAGCCCGGCGAAAGCCGGAUUAAUACCGCAUACGCUCUGAGGAGGAAAGGGGGGGAUCUUCGGACCUCUCGCUCAAGGGGCGGCCGAUGGCAGAUUAGCUGGUUGGUGGGGUAAAGGCCUACCAAGGCGACGAUCUGUAGCUGGUCUGAGAGGACGACCAGCCACACUGGGACUGAGACACGGCCCAGACUCCUACGGGAGGCAGCAGUGGGGAAUUUUGGACAAUGGGCGCAAGCCUGAUCCAGCAAUGCCGCGUGUGUGAAGAAGGCCUUCGGGUUGUAAAGCACUUUUGUCCGGAAAGAAAACCUCCGCCCGAAUACGGCGGGGGGAUGACGGUACCGGAAGAAUAAGCACCGGCUAACUACGUGCCAGCAGCCGCGGUAAUACGUAG
Molecule: ribosomal RNA, 406 nt
Filed under: Burkholderia sp. A9 2009
Lineage: Bacteria; Pseudomonadati; Pseudomonadota; Betaproteobacteria; Burkholderiales; Burkholderiaceae
Description: bacterial SSU rRNA
Rfam family: Bacterial small subunit ribosomal RNA
Source: RNAcentral